GAUUGGCAUAGGAACAUGGAAGAUUGUCAGUCAUCAUCUAUUUCUGCCAAUUUUCCAUGUUCCUGUGCCAGUC
Bison bison bison is the source of this 73-nucleotide microRNA precursor. NCBI's taxonomy places the organism in Eukaryota, Metazoa, Chordata, Mammalia, Artiodactyla, Bovidae. The record is from Ensembl.